UAUUUAGUUUUAUACAUUUAGUAAUUGAAUGUACAUUUGCUUUAUAUUUACAGGAUGGAGAAAGAUGUUCACUAUGGAUAAAAAAUUCAAAACAGAGGACUAAAAAAUAAGUCUUUUAUAUAUAAACAAAAAUACGUAUACAUGUAUGACAUACAUGCAACUAGAAAACAGUAAUCAAAUGGAAUGUCUAUGUGAUUGCAACAACACAUUUUAAUGGAGUGAUGUUGAAAGCAAAAUUAUUUUUGUUAAUAGAAAACAAUAGGACUACAAUAUAUAAAGGUACACAACACAUCAGAAGAAUAAUUUUACUGGAGGAUAAAAAUUUUAAUACCUGGAAUCGGCAAUUUAUAUGAAAUUUGUUAAGAGAGAUAUAUUCACGUACAGAAUGGUAACCCCACCAGAUAACCCUGAGGUGGUUUAAGUGAUUAUUAGCAGACAUUUUUGUUGAAUUAAUGCAAAAUUUAAUAAAUGAAACUUUAGCAGACUAUGGGCUCCAAAUUGUUGUAAAAAGAGCAUGUUGUGCAUAUGUGAAAUGUUGCAAUAUUUUUUUUUUUAAAUUCAGAUUAUUGACUCAGUUGUUUUCAUGAAUUUUUUUCUCAAAGCAAUAUCACUGUUAUAUAAUUAACAAGAUUCCGUAUGUUAUAUUUUAUACUUUUAAAAACCGAAUAUAUCUUCCCUCUGGCCUCAAGUGUUUCCCUUUUAUUUUGCAUAAGUGUAAUUUAAAGAAAGCUCCCUUUUGCUUUUGGCAAAUUCAAGUUUUGCCAUUCCAGAAUUAUUGGACUUUUUUCAUGGAAAAUUAGAUAUUUACAUGUACCCAAAUGUUGUUGAACUCAACUUUGCCUUGAUACUUGUUCAAGAAAUUGUAUCACAAGGCUAGAUUUGAUCAAAUAAGCUCACUUUUGAGUAUUUAUCACAUAUCACAUACUUAAAUAAAAUCUAGUAUGCUUAAA
Mytilus californianus (California mussel) is the source of this 950-nucleotide long non-coding RNA. RefSeq lists it as uncharacterized. Lineage: Eukaryota; Metazoa; Mollusca; Bivalvia; Mytilida; Mytilidae. The record is from RefSeq and is a predicted model, not a curated record. The transcript is spliced from 2 exons.